This 585-nucleotide long non-coding RNA is filed under the name Equus asinus (donkey). RNAcentral's name for it is "lncRNA (ENSEASG00005026891.1)". The record is from RNAcentral. Lineage: Eukaryota; Metazoa; Chordata; Mammalia; Perissodactyla; Equidae.
UGGCAUAUUCCUUCAAGCUGGCUAUGUUUUUACGAAAGUCUUUCUAGAAGAGCUGAUAAUCAACAACUCUUUUUUUUAUUUUUGAGGAAGAUUAGCAUUGAGCUACAUCUGUGCCCAUCUUCCUCUACUUUGUAGAUGGGACAUCUGCCACAGCAUGGUUUGACAAGCAGUGUGUCGGUCCACACCUGGGAUCCAAAUAGGCAAACCCUGGGCUGCUGAAGUGGAAUGUGAGAACUUAACCACUACACCAUCAGGCCAGCCCUUCAACAACUCUUAACAAAUCUUUGUAAUCUACAAGGAACAAGGUGACAAUGAUUUAAACAGUCUCAAACAGCUCAUCCCUCAGUUGAGAAAGCUGAGCGCUCCCUUUACACCACACUCUGAAUUAAGUAAGCCACCACAGUCCUUCGGUUCUAACGCAGCACUUCCACGGCUCCUGGAAAGACUAAUGAAGCCCAAGCAUAUUCAUGACAGUUCAAAAGAAGUCCCAUGAGCCCACUUACACUCCUUAUGCAGCACGCGUUUUUCAAAGGUUGACUUAUUUUUAGUGCAUGGCACUGGCUCUCUUUCAAAGGCUCUGUAUUA